RNAcentral lists this ribosomal RNA (951 nucleotides) under Sarcodon indurescens. RNAcentral's name for it is "partial large subunit ribosomal RNA". The record is from RNAcentral. Lineage: Eukaryota; Fungi; Basidiomycota; Agaricomycetes; Thelephorales; Thelephoraceae.
UAAGCGGAGGAAAAGAAACUAACAAGGAUUCCCCUAGUAACUGCGAGUGAAGCGGGAAAAGCUCAAAUUUGAAAUCUGGCGUCCCGUCUGGCCGUCCGAGUUGUAGUCUGGAGAAGCGUCUUCCGCGCUGGACCCGUGUACAAGUCCCUUGGAACAGGGCGUCAUAGAUGGUGAGAAUCCCGUCUUUGACACGGACUUCCCAGUGCUUUUGUGAUGCGCUCUCAACGAGUCGAGUUGUUUGGGAAUGCAGCUCAAAAUGGGUGGUAAAUUCCAUCUAAAGCUAAAUACAGGCGASAGACCGAUAGCGAACAAGUACCGUGAGGGAAAGAUGAAAAGCACUUUGGAAAGAGAGUUAAACAGUACGUGAAAUUGCUGAAAGGGAAACGCUUGAAGUCAGUCGCGUCUGGCCGGGACUCAGCCUUGCCUUCCCCCCCCSGGGGGGGCUCGGUGCACUUUCUGGUUUGGACGGGCCAGCAUCGAUUUCGAUCCGUCGGAGAAAGUCGAAGGGAAUGUGGCACCUUUCGAGGUGUGUUUAUAGCCCUUCGUUCGUAUGCGACGGUCGAGAUCGAGGACUGCAGCACGGCCCUUGGGGUUUAUUCAACCCACACGACGUGCUUAGGAUGCUGGCUUAAUGGCUUUAAGCGACCCGUCUUGAAACACGGACCAAGGAGUCUAACAUGCCUGCGAGUGUUUGGGUGGAAAAACCCGAGCGCGCAAUGAAAGUGAUGGUUGAGACCUCUGUCGUGGAGGGCAUCGACGCCUGGACUUGAUCUACGGAGACGGUUCCACGGUAGAGCAUGCAUGUUGGGACCCGAAAGAUGGUGAACUAUGCCUGAAUAGGGUGAAGCCAGAGGAAACUCUGGUGGAAGCUCGUAGCGAUUCUGACGUGCAAAUCGAUCGUCAAAUUUGGGUAUAGGGGCGAAAGACUAAUCGAACCAUCUAGUAGCUGGU